Molecule: small RNA, 3727 nt
Filed under: Pongo abelii (Sumatran orangutan)
Lineage: Eukaryota; Metazoa; Chordata; Mammalia; Primates; Hominidae
Description: processed transcript
Source: RNAcentral
AAGCAGAAGGCCCCAUCUCACCAGGUCGGCGGAGAUGCUGCCUGCCUGGAGCUCGGGUCCCAUGGGGUUGGGGGCGAAGAUGCUGCAUCCCAGUGCUGUUCCCUGCUCGGGGUCCUGGAAGCAGAGUGGCCUGGCUUCUCUCACUGGCCAAACACAGAGGGUUUGGAAGCAAAUACUGACGGACGCGGAAGUGUCGCCCCAGGAAGGCUGCAUCAAAAAGAUCUCCGAAGACCUGGGCAGUGAGAAGUUCUGUGUGGAUGCAAAUCAGGCGGGGGCCGGCAGCUGGCUCAAGUACAUCCGUGUGGCGUGCUCCUGCGAUGAUCAGAACCUCACCAUGUGUCAGAUCAGUGAGCAGAUCUACUACAAAGUCAUUAAGGACAUUGAGCCAGGUGAGGAGCUGCUGGUGCACGUGAAGGAAGGCGUCUACCCCCUGGGCACAGUGCCACCCGGCCUGGACGAGGAGCCCACGUUCCGCUGUGACGAGUGUGACGAACUCUUCCAGUCCAAGCUGGACCUGCGGCGCCACAAGAAGUACACGUGUGGCUCAGUGGGGGCUGCACUCUACGAGGGCCUGGCUGAGGAGCUCAAGUCCGAGGGCCUUGGCGGUGGCAGCGGCCAAGCACACGAGUGCAAGGACUGCGAGCGGAUGUUCCCCAACAAGUACAGCCUGGAGCAGCACAUGGUCAUCCACACGGAGGAGCGCGAGUACAAAUGCGACCAGUGUCCCAAGGCCUUCAACUGGAAGUCCAACCUCAUCCGCCACCAGAUGUCCCACGACAGCGGCAAACGCUUCGAAUGUGAAAACUGCGUGAAGGUGUUCACGGACCCCAGCAACCUUCAGCGGCACAUCCGCUCGCAGCAUGUGGGCGCUCGGGCCCACGCCUGCCCUGACUGUGGGAAGACCUUCGCCACGUCCUCCGGCCUCAAGCAGCACAAGCACAUCCACAGCACGGUGAAACCUUUCAUAUGUGAGGUCUGCCACAAGUCCUACACGCAGUUCUCCAACCUGUGCCGGCACAAGCGGAUGCAUGCCGACUGCCGCACGCAGAUCAAGUGCAAGGACUGUGGCCAGAUGUUCAGCACUACCUCCUCCCUCAACAAGCACCGGCGCUUCUGCGAGGGCAAGAACCAUUACACGCCGGGCGGCAUCUUUGCCCCAGGCCUGCCCUUGACCCCCAGCCCCAUGAUGGACAAGGCAAAACCCUCCCCCAGCCUCAAUCACGCCAGCCUGGGCUUCAACGAGUACUUCCCCUCCAGGCCGCACCCGGGGAGCCUGCCCUUCUCCACGGCGCCUCCCACGUUCCCCGCACUCACCCCCGGCUUCCCGGGCAUCUUCCCUCCAUCCUUGUACCCCCGGCCGCCUCUGCUACCUCCCACACCGCUGCUCAAGAGCCCCCUGAACCACACCCAGGACGCCAAGCUCCCCAGCCCCCUGGGGAACCCAGCCCUGCCCCUGGUCUCGGCCGUCAGCAACAGCAGCCAGGGCCCGACGGCAGCUGCGGGGCCCGAGGAGAAGUUCGAGAGCCGCCUGGAGGACUCCUGUGUGGAGAAGCUGAAGACCAGGAGCAGCGACAUGUCGGACGGCAGUGACUUUGAGGACGUCAACACCACCACGGGGACCGACCUGGACACGACCACGGGGACGGGCUCGGACCUGGACAGCGACGUGGACAGCGACCCUGACAAGGACAAGGGCAAGGGCAAGUCCGCCGAGGGCCAGCCCGAGUUUGGGGGCGGCUUGGUGCCCCCGGGGGCCCCGAACAGCGUGGCCGAGGUGCCCGUCUUCUAUUCCCAGCACUCAUUCUUCCCGCCCCCUGACGAGCAGCUGCUGACCGCGACGGGCGCCGCCGGGGACUCCAUCAAGGCCAUCGCAUCCAUCGCCGAGAAGUACUUUGGCCCCGGCUUCGUGGGGAUGCAGGAGAAGAAGCUGGGCUCGCUCCCCUACCACUCGGCUUUCCCCUUCCAGUUCCUGCCCAACUUCGCCCACUCCCUCUACCCCUUCACGGACCGAGCCCUCGCCCACAACUUGCUGGUCAAGGCCGAGCCAAAGUCACCCCGGGACGCCCUCAAGGUGGGCGGCCCCAGUGCCGAGUGCCCCUUCGAUCUCACCACCAAGCCCAAAGACGUGAAGCCCGUCCUGCCCAUGCCCAAGGGCCCUUCGGCCCCCGCAUCCGGUGAGGAGCAGCCGCUGGACCUGAGCAUCGGCAGCCGGGCCCGCGCCAGCCAGAACGGCGGCGGGCGGGAGCCCCGGAAGAACCACGUCUACGGGGAACGCAAGCUGGGCGCCGGCGAGGGGCUGCCCCAGGUGUGCCCGGCGCGGAUGCCCCAGCAGCCCCCGCUCCACUAUGCCAAGCCCUCGCCCUUCUUCAUGGACCCCAUCUACAGCAGGGUAGAAAAGCGGAAGGUCACGGACCCCGUGGGAGCCCUGAAGGAGAAGUACCUGCGGCCGUCCCCGCUGCUCUUCCACCCCCAGAUGUCAGCCAUAGAAACCAUGACGGAGAAGCUGGAGAGCUUUGCAGCCAUGAAGGCGGACUCGGGCAGCUCCCUGCAGCCCCUCCCCCACCACCCCUUCAACUUCCGGUCCCCACCCCCAACGCUCUCUGACCCCAUCCUCAGGAAGGGCAAGGAGCGAUACACGUGCAGGUACUGUGGAAAGAUCUUCCCCAGAUCAGCCAAUCUCACCAGACACCUGAGGACGCACACUGGGGAGCAGCCGUACAGGUGUAAGUACUGCGACCGCUCCUUCAGCAUCUCUUCGAACCUCCAGCGGCACGUCCGGAACAUCCAUAACAAGGAGAAGCCUUUCAAAUGCCACCUGUGCAACCGCUGCUUCGGGCAGCAGACCAACCUGGACCGGCACCUCAAGAAGCACGAGCACGAGAACGCACCAGUGAGCCAGCACCCCGGGGUCCUCACGAACCACCUGGGGACCAGCGCCUCCUCUCCCACCUCUGAGUCGGACAACCACGCACUUUUAGACGAGAAAGAAGACUCUUAUUUCUCAGAAAUCAGAAACUUUAUUGCCAAUAGUGAGAUGAACCAAGCAUCAACGAGAACAGAGAAACGGGCGGAGAUGCAGGACGUGGACGGCAGUGCCCAGUGUCCAGGCCUAGCCAGCGAGAAGCAGGAGGACGUGGAGGAGGAGGACGACGAUGACCUGGAGGAGGACGAUGAGGACAGCCUGGCCGGGAAGUCGCAGGAUGACACCGUGUCCCCCGCACCUGAGCCCCAGGCCGCCUACGAGGAUGAGGAGGACGAGGAGCCACCCACCUCCCUGGCCGUGGGCUUCGACCACACCCGAAGGUGUGCUGAGGACCACGAAGGCGGUCUGUUAGCUUUGGAGCCGAUGCCGACUUUUGGGAAGGGGCUGGACCUCCGCAGAGCAGCUGAGGAAGCAUUUGAAGUUAAAGAUGUGCUUAAUUCCACCUUAGAUUCUGAGGCUUUAAAACAUACACUGUGCAGGCAGGCUAAGAACCAGGCAUAUGCAAUGAUGCUGUCCCUUUCCGAAGACACUCCUCUCCACACCCCCUCCCAGGGUUCUCUGGACGCUUGGUUGAACAUCACCGGAGCCACGUCGGAGUCUGGAGCAUUUCACCCCAUUAACCACCUCUGAUGGGCUGGGCAGCCGGGGGCCGGCAGCCAGAGCGAGGGCACCAGCUGCGGAGGACGGAGGUGGGCGGGGCCCCAGAGAACCCUGUCCCUGCGUGUGGUCACUCCUCAGCGUACU